This 465-nucleotide ribosomal RNA is filed under the name Erronea pallida. RNAcentral's name for it is "partial 16S large subunit ribosomal RNA". Lineage: Eukaryota; Metazoa; Mollusca; Gastropoda; Littorinimorpha; Cypraeidae. The record is from RNAcentral.
GACCAACCCUUAAAGACUGCUGCAUCUUUAGGAUAUUCUAGUCCAACAUCGAGGUCACAAACUCUCUUUUCGAUAAGAGCUCUCAAAGAGAAUUAUGCUGUUAUCCCUAUGGUAACUAAUUUCAUCAAUCAAAAUUUCUGGAUCAAUACCUGUAGGUUUUACUAAUUAUAAAGAAGCUUUGUUUGUUCCAUAGUCGCCCCAACCAAAAUUUAAAAUAGAUUAAUAUUUAAAAUUAUAUAUUAUUUUCAAUUUAUUUUUUUAAAGCUCAAUAGGGUCUUCUUGUCUUUCAAUUUCAUCUAGGUUUCCUCACCUAGAAAUCAAGUUCUAAAAAAUUACAUAGAGACAGCUUUGUUCACGUCAAACCAUUCAUACUAGCCCUCAAUUAUAGGGCAAAUGAUUAUGCUACCUUUGCACGGUCAGAGUACCGCGGCCGUUAAAAUAUAAUUCACUGGGCAGGUCCGACUC